Molecule: long non-coding RNA, 952 nt
Organism: Triticum dicoccoides
Lineage: Eukaryota; Viridiplantae; Streptophyta; Magnoliopsida; Poales; Poaceae
Exons: 2
Source: RefSeq, a predicted model, not a curated record
UUCACUUUUUGUAGAGAUGUAGCGAGAAUGGAUGAUAAGAAUGAUGCAUUUCCAGUUUUGUGUCUAUCUGUAUCUUUGAUGUCUAUUUUGUUGUUAGUUUUUUUAAGAUCGUGGGUAAAUAUUCUUUGUUCAUCGACUGGAUAGUGGGAUCAGGCAUGCCUUAACAGUUUUUCAGUUAAUAAAAUAUGUUCAGUUAAUUAGUUUAUAUUUACUGUGAUGUUAGUGUUCUUUAUUAGCAUGAUAGCAUCUUCACUUUGUUUUUUCAAAUAAAUUCAUUGUUCAGUAUUUACUGCUCUACUUUAUUCAUAAAUCCAUUGUUCAUUUUUGUUUAUUAAAAUAGCCAUGUCUAUCUGCUAUUCCUAGGAUUUCCUUAAAUAACUAUGCUAAUAAAUAUGUCCAUCUCGGAGAGAAUUAAUCUUGCUUCCUUGCAGACUCUGAACAUCAGGACCAUGUGGACUAAACUUGCAUGUGGGUGCACCAAGGAGAAGGUCCCACUCAUCAAGGGAUAACAACUAAUUGGUCAGACUUUGUGAAGACAGGGGUUGGAUAAUUUGGAGAAUGUCUUUGCGUUAAAGGCUAAAAGGGGCAAAGUGUCACUUGUUGUCUACCUGUUUUGACAAGGUUCAUUGUGAGCGUUCGCUUGGACUUAUCUCACACCAUUGAUCUGGCUCGCUUUGGUUAUGUAAUAAGCCAACUAUUGUAUCUACUUAGUGUUGAUCCAUCAGCUUGGCUUACUUUUGGAACAUACUACGUAUUCCCCCAUUUGUCAUGAACUUUUAGAUCUAAUGUUUCAUGCUUCUGGUAUAUUUGAUGGCCUUACCUUUUGUCAUUGUUUGGACAAAUUGCUCUACACUGGACACUUAUGUAUCAAGGCAAUGCCAUGCUUCUGAUGCAACCUUAUUGUAUUGGACUGAUCCAUUAUUUGAGCAAUCACUCUAAUUUUCCUUUGCAA